This is an RNA transcript of Oenanthe melanoleuca, 3036 nucleotides long. It is a transcript of the gene named proteasome 26S subunit, non-ATPase 10, with no coding region annotated. The transcript is spliced from 6 exons. NCBI's taxonomy places the organism in Eukaryota, Metazoa, Chordata, Aves, Passeriformes, Muscicapidae. The record is from RefSeq and is a predicted model, not a curated record.
ACCCCGCCUGGUGGGCGGGGUGGCGCGGGGGCAGCAUGGAGGGCGCGGUGUCGAACGUGGCCGUGUGUAAUCUGGCGUUCGCGGGGCGCCUCGAGGAGCUGCGGGCGCUGCUGCUCCGCGACAGGGCUCAGGCCACGCGGGCAGACCAGGAUCACCGCACCGCGCUACACUGGGCCUGCUCGGCGGGACACACGGACGUCGCAGACCUCCUCCUCGGGCUUGGCGUGCCUGUGAACGAUAAGGACGAUGCUGGUUGGACUCCCUUGCACAUUGCUGCUUCAGCAGGCCGUGACGAAAUUGUGAAAGCCCUCAUUGCUAAGGGUGCUCAUGUAAAUGCUGUCAAUCAGAAUGGCUGCACGCCCCUGCAUUAUGCAGCCUCCAAAAAUAAGCAGGAGAUUGCAAUCAUGCUUUUGGAGAACGGAGCAGAUCCGGAUGCAACAGAUCAUUUUGAAUCCACCCCGUUACACAGAGCAGCAGCCAAAGGAAACCUAAAAAUGGUACAGAUCCUUGUGCAGCACAAUGCAACUGUGGAUAUACGGGACUCUGAAGGGAAUACUCCUCUCCAGGUGAGGACACAUGGAAAAAACGAAGAAGCCCGAAACCGGAAGUCAAUUGUGUGCACCUGCAAAAAUAACUCGGGCGCAAUUUAGUAGUCCCCCGGACAGCGCGGGGCAACCGUCUGGGUAGGUCUUGUCCUCUAGAACCCUCCGAACCCCCGGCUGCCCGCUGCCCCAGCUCUGCACAGAGCGUGCGGGCUCUGGAGCUGGUAGGAACCAGAUAGCGUUUUGUGCAAUACACCUCAUUUCUGGAGUUAAAAAUCUCCAGUCGCAUUCUCUCCUAAUCUCGGUGCGCGGGCUUUUCAACAGACCCUCUUCCAGGACGAGCCCCUCCGGGGCGGGAGGAUAGGUUGGCUAGUCAGGAGACAAUCCUGAGAAAGAGGGAGCUGAAGAUACUGAAGGAACGCUUCAAAAGAACUGGAAGGCUGUCUAAAUGGGAGAGAGACUUGCUGCUGUGAGGAAUCUACUGUGACGUCAGUUUGGAUCUGCAGUCAGACCCUUCAGUGUGUGCUUGCAGUCUGUGUUGAGCUAGGUGAAAACCUGCAGUCAGAGGCAGCAAGGAAAUACUUGCAGUCAUAUUCCAGCAGGAAAAAUCCAGCAGUCAGACUCUGCAAAGGACACCUACAGUGGGUGUUUGCUGCAGUCAAAGUCAGUGAUUAGUUGGAGUCAGGAUGGCUGAGUUAUGAUGAAGAAUAAGCUGGGGCUUUUUCACAUCUUUAAAUAAGAGUCAUGUCUUGAUUAAUUUCUUUCUCAAAUGCAAGGUCUGCUGCAACAAUAUUGAUUGCAGGUGUGAAUUUACUGAUUUUAUAAUAGAGAUAAUUCAUAAGAUAUUAACGCUGUACUUACAGCUGACUUUUUCAUGUCUUUUAACAUCUCUUUGUGUAAUUAUAUAUGAGAUGUAUCAUUUUCAGGAUCUUUCCUUUUUUGUUCUCUAGUUGCAUAUUCAUCUCCUUUAUCCAGGCUACCUCUCUGUUGUCUCAUUAUUUUCAGUAUUUCAGAAUUCCAGGGCAAGAAAACCUCCUCUAAACUGUUGAUCUUGAGGUUCAUGAGAGAGAGGACAGAGCACAGAUGCAAUCCCAGUCAUUUCUUACAGAAGCAGUCCAGCAGUUUGCUGCCUUUUAGGCAUCUCACUCGUAAGGAAAACUUCAGGGGGAACCAGCUAUUGGAUGGGCUUGAUUAGUCUUUCACCCCAAGACCUUUACUCAUAACUUCUAUUCUUAAGACUCUUGUUUUUUAAAUAUGUCAGGGAAUUCUCUUCCAAUUAGGGCCUGGGCUCUGGCCAUGCCCCCCUAUACCCGGAAGGGAAAUUGCCAACAAACCCAGGUGUUUUCUGCAUCAAAACAAUACUCUCAUCACUUUGACUUGGCAAUAUAUAUGUAUGUAAAUAUAUAUAUAUACACACACAAAUAUAGAAAUGGCGGCAAUGUGUGUGAGUAUAUGUGACAGCUGGACCUAUUUUUAAAGUGAACCUGGGAAUUAUUGUCUGGAAGUAAUUAUCCAGGCCCUCACUGAAUCGAAGUUUAUCAGCUGUUUGCAGACUCUGAGAUGAUGGCACAGUGUUUCAGAGAUUGUUAAUUACCUAAUUCCACAUGUGUUAUUAAUUAUGUCUAUUAUCUGAAAUGUUCAUGAUUGCUAUAUCUGAAUUAUUCCUAAUUGCUCUAAGUUUCUGGUUUCAUUACAUAUAUUGUUUUGUUUUGUUGUUCCCUUCAUGUUCAUGAUGAGACUCGCACAUGCUGUUUUUUUAAAAAAUGAAAGGAAGGGGGAAUUAGCCCCUAAAGAAUGUCUGAAUAAUGCAGUAUUUCUACAAAAAAAAAUUUUUUUAAAAAUUUUUACCUAAGGAUCCUCAAUUGAGUAUACAAUGGCACAGCCUAAUUGAUUCAUUAAUUUAAGGAGAAAAUAUGCAUGUAUUUUUAUCAUCAGCAGGUUCAAAGUAGUAAUCUAUUCAUUGACCAGACAUCAAUUGCCUCUGAAGACAUGAGCCAGUGAAAAGUGAAAUAAUCUAAUCAUCAUGCAGCCUUCCUGGCCAGAGCAGGAACAGAAGUAGAACUGCCAAGACAUAGCCGUGUCUGGAAACUUACAGAGGCAAUUUGCCAACAAAAGCCUUAUGUCAUCAUCAUGAAACAGUGUUCCUACUAACCUUCUUCAGUUAUUCCCUGUUCCAGUAUCCAAGAGGAUAUUCAUUGAUGUCAAAGAUCAACAUUUACAGCUAAUGGACUUUCUCCUACUUCUCAACUAAUUGGACUUUCAAACAACAGUCAUUUAUUUCCUUAGGAGAUAUUGGACAUUUACAUAAUAGGAUUUAAUAAGUUUUAUUGAUUGUAAUUGAUCUUUUAUGUAUCUUAUUCCAUAUCUCAUAGAUAACUGAUAAUAUCCUCACAAGAGUGAGCUGUUGUAACAUCAGAAUAUAUGAGCCUUUUUUAAAUUAAUAAAAAGGGGGAGAUGUCAUAGAUGGUAGAAGAAUUAUAAAAGAAAGGCCUCA